UGUGUACACUCAGCAGUCUGUCUGUGUGUGUAUUUAGCAGUCUGUCUGUGUGUGUGUGUGUGUGUGUAUUUAGCAGUCUGUUUGUGUGUGUGUAUUUAGCAGUCUGUGUGUGUAUUCAGCAGACUGUGUACUCAGCAGUCUGCUAAAUACAGACAGACUGCUAAGUACACAGACAGACUGCUAAAUACACAUACAGACAGACUGCCGAGCAC
Molecule: non-coding RNA, 212 nt
Organism: Pelobates cultripes (western spadefoot toad)
Lineage: Eukaryota; Metazoa; Chordata; Amphibia; Anura; Pelobatidae
Source: the annotation of a GenBank genome assembly